GUUUACCUGUGGUGUAAUGGUCAGCAUGGAUGCCUUCCAAGCAUUCGACGGGGGUUCGAUUCCCCCCGAACG
Molecule: transfer RNA, 72 nt
Filed under: Caenorhabditis japonica
Lineage: Eukaryota; Metazoa; Nematoda; Chromadorea; Rhabditida; Rhabditidae
Description: tRNA CJA47386
Rfam family: tRNA (bases 8-68)
About the family: Transfer RNA (tRNA) molecules are approximately 80 nucleotides in length. Their secondary structure includes four short double-helical elements and three loops (D, anti-codon, and T loops). Further hydrogen bonds mediate the characteristic L-shaped molecular structure. tRNAs have two regions of fundamental functional importance: the anti-codon, which is responsible for specific mRNA codon recognition, and the 3' end, to which the tRNAs corresponding amino acid is attached (by aminoacyl-tRNA synthetases). tRNAs cope with the degeneracy of the genetic code in two manners: having more than one tRNA (with a specific anti-codon) for a particular amino acid; and 'wobble' base-pairing, i.e. permitting non-standard base-pairing at the 3rd anti-codon position.
Source: RNAcentral